RNAcentral lists this small RNA (253 nucleotides) under Echinops telfairi (small Madagascar hedgehog). Its description in RNAcentral is "7SK RNA (ENSETEG00000024844.1)". The stretch from base 1 to 182 matches the Rfam family "7SK RNA". Rfam says of the family: 7SK was discovered as an abundant small nuclear RNA in the mid-70s but a possible function has only recently been suggested. Lineage: Eukaryota; Metazoa; Chordata; Mammalia; Afrosoricida; Tenrecidae. The record is from RNAcentral.
GGACGUGUGGGCGGUCUGGCUACAGCUUCCACCCCCAUGGGUUAUCAAGGACGGGUCAGUUAGCCAGUCUAGACUGGGCUUCUCCCUCCUCUUUCGCCACUUUAGGAAGGUCCUUCCUGAUGCUGUGCUCCCAGCCAAAGAGGGUGACCUUCUCAGAUAAAGCAGCCUCCUUAUUGGCUUUGCCCCUUGCACGCAGGGUUUGUGGGAGCGCCAUCUCCACAAAGCUCUGACUCACCACUAUAUCUGGAAUUAU